GAGUUACUGCACACGGAGAAAGACCAGCUGACAUUGGCAAUUGAAAGAGGUAAACAAGAGUCCACAGAAAGUUUGGCACAAGCAGAGAGUCAGAACACUGAAUUAUCACAAAAGGUUGUGGAUCAGGAAUUAAAGCUGAAAGAACAGGAGGAAGCGCUCGGGAAGUUAGUGGAAGAGAAGGAAGGUCUAGUGGUACAGAUCAAUGAACUCCAGGCUGAAGUGAAAUCCCUUUGUGAACAGAAGAGUACCUUGGAAGAAAACAUAAGCAGUGCAAACAAUGAGAACAAUCUACUGAAGGAGGAAAAGGGAAGUCUUUUAAGCAAACUAUCUGAUCUGGAGAAUGCAUUAACCGAGAAAGUUGAUGAGCAUGGUCAGACUUUGGCACACGCAGAGAAUCAGCACACUGAAUUAUCACAAAAGAUCGUGGAUCGGGAAAUGAAGCUUAAAGAACAUGAGGAAGCAUUUGGAAAGUUGGGCGAGGAGCACAAACAGCUUGAUGGUAUGCUCCAGGAGUACAAGGAAAGUCUCAAACUUGCAGAAAUGAAGAUUGAAGAGAUGAC
This 560-nucleotide long non-coding RNA is filed under the name Solanum tuberosum (potato). Its description in RNAcentral is "long non-coding RNA (STUB_LNC008616)". The record is from RNAcentral. Lineage: Eukaryota; Viridiplantae; Streptophyta; Magnoliopsida; Solanales; Solanaceae.